Molecule: ribosomal RNA, 483 nt
Filed under: uncultured bacterium
Lineage: Bacteria
Description: bacterial SSU rRNA
Rfam family: Bacterial small subunit ribosomal RNA
Source: RNAcentral
CGGCGGAUGGGUGAGUAUCACGUGGGCAACCUGCCUGUAAGAUCGGGAUAACUCGCGGAAACGUGAGCUAAUACCGGAUGAAGUCUUACGCCACCUGGCGUAAGGAUGAAAGAUGGCCUUUGUGCUAUCACUUACAGAUGGGCCCGCGGCGCAUUAGCUAGUUGGUGGGGUAAUGGCCUACCAAGGCGACGAUGCGUAGCCGACCUGAGAGGGUGAUCGGCCACACUGGAACUGAGACACGGCCCAGACUCCUACGGGAGGCAGCAGUAGGGAAUCUUCCGCAAUGGACGAAAGUCUGACGGAGCAACGCCGCGUGAGUGAUGAAGGUCUUCGGAUCGUAAAACUCUGUUGUCAGGGAAGAACAAGUGACGUUCGAAUAGGGCGUGACCUUGACGGUACCUGACCAGAAAGCCCCGGCUAACUACGUGCCAGCAGCCGCGGUAAUACGUAGGGGGCAAGCGUUGUCCGGAAUUAUUGGGCGUA